GGGGGACCUUCGGGCCUCUUGCCAUCGGAUGUGCCCAGAUGGGAUUAGCUAGUAGGUGGGGUAACGGCUCACCUAGGCGACGAUCCCUAGCUGGUCUGAGAGGAUGACCAGCCACACUGGAACUGAGACACGGUCCAGACUCCUACGGGAGGCAGCAGUGGGGAAUAUUGCACAAUGGGCGCAAGCCUGAUGCAGCCCUGCCGCGUGUAUGAAGAAGGCCUUCGGGUUGUAAAGUACUUUCAGCGGGGAGGAAGGGAGUAAAGUUAAUACCUUUGCUCAUUGACGUUACCCGCAGAAGAAGCACCGGCUAACUCCGUGCCAGCAGCCGCGGUAAUACGGAGGGUGCAAGCGUUAAUCGGAAUUACUGGGCGUAAAGCGCACGCAGGCGGUUUGUUAAGUCAGAUGUGAAAUCCCCGGGCUA
RNAcentral lists this ribosomal RNA (421 nucleotides) under Escherichia coli. RNAcentral's name for it is "bacterial SSU rRNA". It matches the Rfam family "Bacterial small subunit ribosomal RNA", at positions 194 to 610 of the family's 1533-position model. The record is from RNAcentral. Lineage: Bacteria; Pseudomonadati; Pseudomonadota; Gammaproteobacteria; Enterobacterales; Enterobacteriaceae.